RNAcentral lists this ribosomal RNA (535 nucleotides) under Rhodotorula mucilaginosa. RNAcentral describes it as "eukaryotic LSU rRNA". It matches the Rfam family "Eukaryotic large subunit ribosomal RNA", at positions 98 to 648 of the family's 3401-position model. Lineage: Eukaryota; Fungi; Basidiomycota; Microbotryomycetes; Sporidiobolales; Sporidiobolaceae. The record is from RNAcentral.
GCGGGAAGAGCUCAAAUUUAUAAUCUGGCACCUUCGGUGUCCGAGUUGUAAUCUCUAGAAAUGUUUUCCGCGUUGGACCGCACACAAGUCUGUUGGAAUACAGCGGCAUAGUGGUGAGACCCCCGUAUAUGGUGCGGACGCCCAGCGCUUUGUGAUACAUUUUCGAAGAGUCGAGUUGUUUGGGAAUGCAGCUCAAAUUGGGUGGUAAAUUCCAUCUAAAGCUAAAUAUUGGCGAGAGACCGAUAGCGAACAAGUACCGUGAGGGAAAGAUGAAAAGCACUUUGGAAAGAGAGUUAACAGUACGUGAAAUUGUUGGAAGGGAAACGCUUGAAGUCAGACUUGCUUGCCGAGCAAUCGGUUUGCAGGCCAGCAUCAGUUUUCCGGGAUGGAUAAUGGUAGAGAGAAGGUAGCAGUUUCGGCUGUGUUAUAGCUCUCUGCUGGAUACAUCUUGGGGGACUGAGGAACGCAGUGUGCCUUUUGGCGGGGGUUUCGACCUCUUCACACUUAGGAUGCUGGUGGAAUGGCUUUAAACGAC